CGUACACUCCUACGGGAGGCAGCAGUGGGGAAUAUUGCACAAUGGGCGCAAGCCUGAUGCAGCCAUGCCGCGUGUAUGAAGAAGGCCUUCGGGUUGUAAAGUACUUUCAGCGGGGAGGAAGGCAAUACGGUUAAUAACCGUGUUGAUUGACGUUACCCGCAGAAGAAGCACCGGCUAACUCCGUGCCAGCAGCCGCGGUAAUACGGAGGGUGCAAGCGUUAAUCGGCAUUACUGGGCGUAAAGCGCACGCAGGCGGUCUGUCAAGUCGGAUGUGAAAUCCCCGGGCUCAACCUGGGAACUGCAUUCGAAACUGGCAGGCUUGAGUCUUGUAGAGGGGGGUAGAAUUCCAGGUGUAGCGGUGAAAUGCGUAGAGAUCUGGAGGAAUACCGGUGGCGAAGGCGGCCCCCUGGACAAAGACUGACGCUCAGGUGCGAAAGCGUGGGGAGCAAACAGGAUUAGAUACCCCAGUAGUCCCAUGAU
RNAcentral lists this ribosomal RNA (480 nucleotides) under uncultured organism. RNAcentral's name for it is "partial 16S ribosomal RNA". It matches the Rfam family "Bacterial small subunit ribosomal RNA", at positions 330 to 801 of the family's 1533-position model. The record is from RNAcentral.